UGGGGAAUAUUGCACAAUGGGGGAAACCCUGAUGCAGCAACGCCGCGUGAAGGACGACGGUUUUCGGAUUGUAAACUUCUUUUCUUAGUGACGAAGACAGUGACGGUAGCUAAGGAAUAAGCAUCGGCUAACUACGUGCCAGCAGCCGCGGUAAUACGUAGGAUGCAAGCGUUAUCCGGAUUUACUGGGUGUAAAGGGAGCGCAGGCGGGACUGCAAGUUGGAUGUGAAAUACCGUGGCUUAACCACGGAACUGCAUCCAAAACUGUAGUUCUUGAGUGAAGUAGAGGCAAGCGGAAUUCCGAGUGUAGCGGUGAAAUGCGUAGAUAUUCGGAGGAACACCAGUGGCGAAGGCGGCUUGCUGGGCUUUAACUGACGCUGAGGCUCGAAAGUGUGGGGAGCAAACAGGAUUAGAUACCCUGGUAGUCCACACUGUAAACGAUGAUAGCUAGGUGUGGGGGGUCUGACCCCUUCCGUGCCGGAGUUAACGCAAUAAGCUAUCCACCUGGGGAGUACGACCGCAAGGUUGAAACUCAAAGGAAUUGACGGGGGCCCGCACAAGCAGUGGAUUAUGUGGUUUAAUUCGAAGCAACGCGAAGAACCUUACCAGGUCUUGACAUCCGACUAACGAGAUAGAGAUAUGUCAGGUGCCCUUCGGGGAAAGUCGAGACAGGUGGUGCAUGGUUGUCGUCAGCUCGUGUCGUGAGAUGUUGGGUUAAGUCCCGCAACGAGCGCAACCCCUGCCAUUAGUUGCUACGCAAGAGCACUCUAAUGGGACCGCUACCGACAAGGUGGAGGAAGGUGGGGACGACGUCAAAUCAUCAUGCCCCUUAUGACCUGGGCUACACACGUAAUACAAUGGCCGUUAACAGAGGGAAGCAAAGCGGUGACGCAGAGCAAAACCCUAAAAACGGUCCCAGUUCGGACUGUAGGCUGCAACCCGCCUACACGAAGUUGGAAUUGCUAGUAAUCGCGGAUCAGCAUGCCGCGGUGAAUACGUUCCC
This 1002-nucleotide ribosomal RNA is filed under the name uncultured bacterium. RNAcentral's name for it is "bacterial SSU rRNA". It matches the Rfam family "Bacterial small subunit ribosomal RNA", at positions 355 to 1375 of the family's 1533-position model. The record is from RNAcentral.